UAUGUCAGUGAUGAUUUUUUUUUAAAGAUUUGAGUUUAAUUGCUGUGAAACUAUUUACAUGCACUACCAUCUGAGACAUG
Molecule: small nucleolar RNA, 80 nt
Organism: Bombina bombina (fire-bellied toad)
Lineage: Eukaryota; Metazoa; Chordata; Amphibia; Anura; Bombinatoridae
Source: RefSeq, a predicted model, not a curated record